This 547-nucleotide ribosomal RNA is filed under the name uncultured Glomeromycotina. Its description in RNAcentral is "SSU rRNA". It matches the Rfam family "Eukaryotic small subunit ribosomal RNA", at positions 548 to 1098 of the family's 1831-position model. The record is from RNAcentral. Lineage: Eukaryota; Fungi; Glomeromycota.
UUGGAGGGCAAGUCUGGUGCCAGCAGCCGCGGUAAUUCCAGCUCCAAUAGCGUAUAUUAAAGUUGUUGCAGUUAAAAAGCUCGUAGUUGAAUUUCGGGGUUCUUCCGUUGGUCAGGCUAACAAGUCUGUACUAGCGUGUAGAAUCUCUACCUUCUGGGGAACCAUCAUAUUAUUAAUUUAGCGUGGUGGGAAACCAGGACCUUUACCUUGAGAAAAUUAGAGUGUUCAAAGCAGGCUUACGUCUGAAUACAUUAGCAUGGAAUAAUAAAAUAGGACGGUGGUCCUGUUUUGUUGGUUUCUGAAUCACCGUAAUGAUUAAUAGGGAUAGUUGGGGGCAUUAGUAUUCAAUUGUCAGAGGUGAAAUUCUUGGAUUUAUUGAAGACUAACUUCUGCGAAAGCAUUUGCCAAGGAUGUUUUCAUUAAUCAAGAACGAAAGUUAGGGGAUCGAAGACGAUCAGAUACCGUCGUAGUCUUAACCAUAAACUAUGCCGACUAGGGAUCGGACGAUGUUAAAUUUUAUUGACUCGUUCGGCGCCUUACGGGAAAC